UACAGAGGGUGCGAGCGUUACUCGGAAUUACUGGGCGUAAAGCGCGUGUAGGCGGCCAGGUAAGUCCGUUCUGAAAGCCCGGGGCUCAACCCCGGGAGGCGGAUGGAUACUGCUUGGCUCGAGUCCGGAAGAGGCGAGUGGAAUUCCCGGUGUAGCGGUGAAAUGCGCAGAUAUCGGGAGGAACACCAAUGGCGAAGGCAGCUCGCUGGGACGGUACUGACGCUGAGACGCGAAAGCGUGGGGAGCAAACAGG
RNAcentral lists this ribosomal RNA (253 nucleotides) under uncultured bacterium. RNAcentral's name for it is "partial 16S ribosomal RNA". It matches the Rfam family "Bacterial small subunit ribosomal RNA", at positions 524 to 776 of the family's 1533-position model. The record is from RNAcentral.